Taeniopygia guttata (zebra finch) is the source of this 4678-nucleotide non-coding RNA. Lineage: Eukaryota; Metazoa; Chordata; Aves; Passeriformes; Estrildidae. The record is from RefSeq and is a predicted model, not a curated record.
UUAUAUACUGGAUAGAUCUGUUAUGUACUGCAUAUAUAAUAGAUAUAUCCAGUAUAUCUAUUCCAGUAUAUUCCUGUAUAGACCAGUGUGUCUUCCUAAGUGGUCAUGUCUGCUAGAAGUUUAUAUUUUGUGGAGAUUUCCAUUAAGUUGCAAUUUUUUCCUAUCGUAUGGGAUUGAAAAUGGAAGUACUAAAUGGAAAGAUGAUUUAAGACUUUGUUGUAGUUCAUGUAUUUCCAACAAAACUUUCAAUACUGCUGCAUUAGUGGUAUUUUUACUGGCAUUGGUGGAAAGAGGUGGUUGGUAGUUUUAGGUUCCUUUCAGCUUUCUGGUUGGCUUUGCAAAUGUGACUUAAGCAUAUGCUCUAAGUAAAUCUGGGCAUUGAACCUGGAAGUAUUGCUGCCUAAAAUCACUAGUUCUUCAAAUAACUUAUGUUGAAUAUGUGGCUUUUUUCAGGCUCUAAGCUUACAGCUCCAGAUGAGCAAGAAUUUUCCUUUUCUAGCUAGUGUAUGUUUUUCAUGUCCAUAAUGCAUUACAGUGAACAUUAUACACUGCGCCUCAUUUUGAAAACUUGUUUUCUCCCUGUAUUUUCCUGUUACAUAAAAAUCUCAUUGCCCUUUGCUUUCUUUUAAAAGCUUCUGUAACAGAGUCUUCUAUAAACAGUGCACAGUGAUGUGUACACCUUUUAUUAUACCUCCUAUAUUGAACUCGUGUUGGUAUUUGAGGAGAAUGUAUGAUCCAUUUGGCAAGCCUUAGUCCAUUAAACAAUGCUGGCUCUUCUUUAAGAGUACCCUGCCUAAGUUUAAUAAAACUGAUAUUUUUUUUAAAAUCUUGUUUGAUUUGUAUUUAAAACUGUACACAGUGAAGCUUUCCUAGAAAACUUGUAUGGUAUUCUUGAAUGCAUUUGCAAAGCCUGUUUUUAGAAAUCUGCAAUUGGCUACUGUGGAUGAUGGUAAAUGGACUUUACAACUGCAGAAUAAACAUAGUUACCUAUUGUCUGAAAUAGAUGGUGUGGCCAGACUGACCAAACAGUGAAACCUAAUCUAAAUGAGCCUAAUUUUGUCAGAGAUAAUGAAUCAAAAUAGUGAAUGACAGUGCUAGGAAAAUGAUCAGUAUUGAAGUUUACCAUUUAUAUAUGUAAGUUGAUUCACUGAAUGUGCUACUUAAGAACAGAUAUGGUUUGGUUUUCAUUAUGUACUACUCUAGCAGAAAUGCUGAUUUUUUUUUUUUAAAUUAUGAUUAGAGGCACUUUUUUUCCUACUUCAGAAUACUUCUGCUUUGAUAGAAAUGUCUGAAUAUAGUCAGAGAUUAUAUUAUAUUUCAAUUUAUUGUUAUACACCAAUCUACUUAGUUGAAUUGCAUUAGUGUGAGUAGAACAGGAGGAUGGUGCAGGAAGCGUCUGAUGUAUGUAUAUGAAACAAACAUGUUUGGAACACAGGACUUCUUUCCUAGCCAGAUAUGAACCAUCUGGUCUGAAGCUGAGUCUGGAGACAGUAGUUCUGUCUCUAGUAGUCAGUGCUUUUUCCCCCUUGGUAGUAGCCUGCUGUUUGGGGGAUGAGGGAGGACAUGAAAGACCUUCCAGUUCAGUGCUGUUCUGACCAAGAGAAGGCUGAGGAGAGAGGUCCAUUUUGGAAAACUGUCAGGGAACCUGUGUCUGAUCAUGAGUAGGAGGAUGAAGAGAUAAAUGAUUAGAGCACUGGAGUAGUAAGUGUUUGAACUUAAGCUCAAGUUGUUCAGCUGUAGUUCAGCUGAUUCUUUAGUGUUACGUGUUUUGGAGAGUAAUUGAGAAUGAGUUUCCUUGGGUUUUUAGCUACUGAGUGGAAAUGCAGUAGUGGCUUUUGGAUGAAGAUUUUUACUUUGGGAUUGAGGAAGAAGACCAAAGCAAUAAACACAUAAAAGAAGUCAGUCAAAUAGAUUUUGCAUGUUAAGGGUCUCAUGCUGCAAUCUGAAGGAUUGCAGUGGAACCAUUGUUCUGGUUUCCACAGUGCUGUGAUGAGUCCAGCAGCCUUUGGUGUGGUGACCAGCUGUGUUAACUGCAUCAUCUAUGAAUUAUCCUCAGAAUGAUCCUCAGAAUGAUUACUGCUGCACUUUACAUCUGACCUUGCUUCUAAGUUGUGAGGUGAAGAAAUCUGGACUGCUACACUCAGGGAAUUGAUUUUGUAUUCUGGCAGUAUCUUUGAGUAGUCUGUUUGUACAGUCUGGGGGAAUAGGGUGGCUUCAGGAUUCUUCCUUGGCAUAAUAAAGAGGUGGCUUUGAAACCAAAGGGUAUUCCUUUUAUUUUGUGUGCCUAUCUUAGUCACUGAUAGAACAGGUCAGUGCUCCUGUAAUUGUCACAGGAACAUAGCUUCCAACAAUAGCUAAAUCCACAAAUGGAUGGCAAUAUGACAAACACAAAGGAUGUCUUGCAGGUUAUGAAUGCUGUUGCUGUAGCUUUGUUGCUCUAAGCUUAUAAACAUGACAAAGGUUUUAUAAGUCGAGGCAAUACCUUAUUAGAUCACCUGCUGCAGUGGUGGGGAACAGGACAUGGGCAAUUGCACACGUCCAAGGGCUGAGUUCCUCAGAAGGCUGCACAAUUAUUUGGAGACACCAUGUGGAGAUUUUGUACUGUGUGGAUUGUUGCAGGCACAUUGCAGAUACAGGUAAAUGUUAGUGUAUUUGUGAUUUAUUUUUUUAAUAAGUAGCUCGUAGUUUUGAUGUGUCACCUUGUAGCAAUAGUUGGUGUAAUUCUUAUUUCAGAGAUUAAGGAAUUGGGUCCUUGAAAAUAGGUUAGCAGCUGUAGGAUCUACUUAAAUUGCUAUUUGUUUUUGUAUUACUCUACAAAGAUGAUGUCUGCAUAAAGGAAGUGGAGAUUGCAUUACAGAGAGCAAUGUCAGAAAGUAAACCUGUGAAAAUACUUUUCAAAUGUCACUGUUUCCAUGUAAAACAUGGAGAUAUAUUUUCCUUUGAAGCAUCUGGCUACUGGAAAUCACUGGCGGGAAAAGGAUGCUUUGAAUGCCUUUUUUAAGGAGCCCAUCUCUGUUAUUUUUGUGAAGACAUGAACUUGGUCACUAGUGUGACUUUUGUAUAGUAAAUCUGUAAGAUGCAAAUAGAAGUGGACUGCAUUGCAAUGCUUGCAGCUUUAGGCAUGACUAAUGCUUAAUAAUACUUAAUAGUAGGAUUUUAUUUUUCCCCUAUUGAAAUCCCCAGUUACCACAGGACAGAGGAGUGUACAGUUAAGCCAAUUCUGAGUACCCUGGAUAUCUUGCCUUGAAUUUCCAUGCCUUCUUUUAUUCUUUCUUAAUGCAAAGCAAGUGACCUCUCCUCUUGCAGCGCUCCUGCUCCAACAAUAAAAAGAACCUUGGUAUGAAGACUGUUCAUGUCACUUUGAGGAAUGCUUGCAGGUUUGGUGGUUUGUGUAGUACCAGUCUCAGCAUUCACCAGAUUUUGAAUCCAUGUAUUUGAAAUCUCACUUUUUUCCCACCUGAACUGAGCUAACCUCCUGGUCCUUGAGUAUGUCUGUGCUUGGGGUGGGUGUAGGGACUAGACUCAUCAGGUAUUUUGGUUGUAACUCUCAGGGAGCGUAGCCUGGUCUUGUCUUGGAAUGGGGAGGGUGUUUAAGAAAGAACUAGCAAAGAAACAAAAACCUGAGAGAGGAUUCUCUCCAAUUUGCUGGUGCAUAUUUUUAUAUGAGGUAUUGAUUUCCCAGCCACUUGAGUGAUUGCAAUUUUCUUGAUCUUUUGGGAACAUGGGGAAAUCUUGUGCGAUUCAUACUGUCUUACAAAAAACUUACCCAUGGAGAGGCACAGAGUUUAAGUGUACGUACAUUGUUAUAAAAGCUGAAGAUAAACUCAUUUUAAAUUCAAAGUAGUUUGGGUAGGUGCUCAUUUUUAUUAUUUUGUAAGACAAAACCAAUCCCCCAAACAAAACAAAGCAAAACCAUUUAGAAAUAGAGCCAUAGACUUUUCUUUCAAAAUUUGAGUGCCUUAUUUUUUUUUACGUAGUAUGACAGAAAUAUUGUAAAACAAGGAAAGCAUUUCAUGCUUAAGAAUGGAAGUUUUGUGCAUCUAAGAACUUUUUAUUGGUCAUUACUAAAGAAUUAAAAUGUUGUUGGCCAUAUGCACUGCAGCAGGGAAUUUUCUCUUGGCAGCACUAUACCCUCCAGCCACUAAAAUGCACAGAGUCAUUUUAAUGUAGAACAGAGUAAAUGCUGGAGAUAGCAUCUUUGGUGGACUGGUGACAAAUGUUUAUUCUGUGUCGGUUCUGUUUCUCAGGAAGACUGGGGUUAAUUGUAGCUUGGCAAGUAAAAAAAAAAAAAAAGUUCCAUAUUGUUUUUCUGCAGUAGAUUCCUGUUGCUAUGCAACAAACAGAAUGUCACUUAGUACAGGAUAUAUUAAAUUGGUAUUCCCAGCACAUAUCUCUGCCCGUUCAUUUUAUACUUUAGCAGGAGGGUAUGGUUCUGGCUUCCUGUAGCACUGGAGUAUGAAGUCUGUAUUUGAGCUGCUAUUCUGGGGCUGCUGGAGCUGCCUGACGUCAGUGCACUUGCAGAGCCUCUCUUUGUUUUCGGAUGGAUGGGACACCUGUGCAACACAAUCAGGCUUCCAAGCAGACAAAAAGGGGUGGUGGUUAUCUGUUAUCUUCCUCGAGUGCUAAACCCAGCCAGUCUCAGCAUCUGAAUUCUGUACAUUUGUUCUCAAUGGAUUCU